RNAcentral lists this ribosomal RNA (517 nucleotides) under uncultured bacterium. RNAcentral describes it as "bacterial SSU rRNA". It matches the Rfam family "Bacterial small subunit ribosomal RNA", at positions 18 to 518 of the family's 1533-position model. The record is from RNAcentral.
UCUGGCUCAGGAUGAACGCUGGCGGCGCGCUUAAGACAUGCAAGUCGAACGGUUAAUAACAUGUCAAAGAUGAAGUUUCACAGAUUCAGAGACGCCGUAUUAAAUAGUGGCGGACGGGUGAGUAACACGUGAGCAACCUGCCUUCAAGUGGGGGACAACAGAGAGAAAUUUCUGCUAAUACCGCAUAAGACCACACUACCGCAUGGUAGAGGGGUCAAAGAUUUAUCGCUUGAAGAUGGGCUCGCGGCUGAUUAGCUAGUUGGUGGGGUAACGGCUCACCCAAGGCGACGAUCAGUAGCCGAACUGAGAGGUUGAUCGGCCACAUUGGGACUGAGACACGGCCCAGACUCCUACGGGAGGCAGCAGUCGGGAAUAUUGCACAAUGGGGGGAAAAACCCCUGAUGCAGCGACGCCGCGUAAAGGAAGAAGGUCUUCGGAUUGUAAACUUUUGUCGACAGGGAAGAGAACGGACAGUACCUGUGGAGGAAGCCCCGGCUAACUACGUGCCAGCCGCCGC